AGGGGAAGCUCCUGAGAUCUGCUUUUUAGCUUUCUCUGUCAGUUCACCUCACUGGAAAAUACUUUACCCUCUGGACCAAACCAGAAAACUGAGGCAUUGUGAAGAAUAAAAUAAAAGCCCCAGGAGUACAACUGCUGAGGUUCACCACUCUAAAGAUUACCAGGGAUCAGACACUCUGCUCUCC
Molecule: long non-coding RNA, 184 nt
Organism: Nothoprocta perdicaria
Lineage: Eukaryota; Metazoa; Chordata; Aves; Tinamiformes; Tinamidae
Exons: 3
Source: RefSeq, a predicted model, not a curated record